UACAGAGGUCUCAAGCGUUGUUCGGAUUCAUUGGGCGUAAAGGGUGCGUAGGCGGCGCGGUAAGUCGGGUGUGAAAUCUCGGGGCUUAACUCCGAAACUGCAUUCGAUACUGCCGUGCUUGAGGACUGGAGAGGAGACUGGAAUUUACGGUGUAGCGGUGAAAUGCGUAGAUAUCAGGAGGAACACCUGUGGCGAAAGCGGCUCACUGGACCAUAACUGACGCUGAGGCACGAAAGCUAGGGGAGCAAACAGG
RNAcentral lists this ribosomal RNA (253 nucleotides) under uncultured prokaryote. RNAcentral's name for it is "partial 16S ribosomal RNA". It matches the Rfam family "Bacterial small subunit ribosomal RNA", at positions 524 to 776 of the family's 1533-position model. The record is from RNAcentral.